GCCUCCGUAGCUUAGUAGCUAUAGCGGCGGUUUCGUAAACCGCAGGUCGAGGGUGCAACUCCCUUCGGAGGCU
Molecule: transfer RNA, 73 nt
Filed under: Candidatus Woesearchaeota archaeon CG10_big_fil_rev_8_21_14_0_10_37_12
Lineage: Archaea; Nanobdellati; Candidatus Woesearchaeota
Description: tRNA-Thr
Rfam family: tRNA
About the family: Transfer RNA (tRNA) molecules are approximately 80 nucleotides in length. Their secondary structure includes four short double-helical elements and three loops (D, anti-codon, and T loops).
Source: RNAcentral